RNAcentral lists this long non-coding RNA (1656 nucleotides) under Dasypus novemcinctus (nine-banded armadillo). Its description in RNAcentral is "lncRNA (ENSDNOG00000050906.1)". The record is from RNAcentral. Lineage: Eukaryota; Metazoa; Chordata; Mammalia; Cingulata; Dasypodidae.
UAGAAAGACUUCUAUGUUUGAAAGCUUGUAAAAUUAUUUACUUAGAAUUUUUCAAAAGACUUUUAUCGCCUUAGUUUUACAUUCAAAUAGUUUAUUAAUAUGGGACCCCACAUUAUAGACAGUUUGGAAAAUAGCUAAAACGGGUGGGGAGCACCUGUGGUUUCACCCUUAACACAAUUCCAAUGUGCAAAUUGACAUGCUUUGUGACUAUUCCUCUCUUUUUAUAAGUCGUAAUCCUAGUGUAUAUGUCAUUUAGUAUACUGUGACAUAAUCUUCAUAAUCACAAAGUGUAAUGACUCUAUUGCAGUUACAUUAGCUUCACCUGGAAUCUCAAGCACUAGAGUUAUUUCUUCCUAAGCAGAGUCUGUGAAAUGACGGUCAGCGCGGGGCAUUUCACUCUUCUCCUUGCACUUCCCCUCACUCUGUGAGGGCAGACAUGGCCCCCGGGCCCCACUCGCAAAAUGCCCUUCAUCCCUCACCAAGUCCAUUCCACUGCCUUCAGUGAAAUCUUGCUGUAGAAAAAAUGAGAAGACAAGAAACACAUAAGUUUCUCAGUGUCUCAGUCCCUUUCUCAUUGCUCAAACAGCUUAGAAAAGUGGAACCACAAGCAGCGUACAGUUAUAGUUGUAGUACUCAUUAACGUGAUAUUUCAAUCAUUUUCUAAUUAUUAUUUGUGCUUGGUUGUUUUUAGGAAAGUUACUAUUCAAGUCCAAUCCAUCAUAAUGCAGAAUCCUCUGUCAGUCCCGCCGAAAGAUCAAGGUGUACCAGGACACAUCCAGGAGGGCUGUGCUGGAGACUCUGACAGCUGGGCCCACAAGGGUCUGAGACUACCUUGUUUUGAAAAUGAGUAAACUGAGGCACAGGGAAAGCUGAAGGGGGCUGAAGCAAGACCAGGCCCUGCCAGAUCGCCACCUACACCGAGCACCAGAGAACCUGGUUGGAGAACACUCAAUUGCAUGUUCCCUAAGAUGCUACCAGCUGGAUGGCCCAAUGUCUUGCUUCCUCUGGCCUGGUGGUGAACUCCAGCUCCACACUUGGAAUACAGAGACUGAUUUUUCACCCAGGAACACAACCCUGCAAGUUUUCCAUGAGGUCAUCUCCUUCCACAUCCUUUGGCACAUCAUCGUUUGACUUCCACUCCUUGACUUUGACACCAAAGGUAUGUUCACCAGUGUCUUCAGUUCACCCUACAAAAGUGCUCUGACCAUGAAGGCUAGUCUCCUGCUCUGCUGUAAGCUUUUAAGCCACUUAGGAGACUAUUUUUAUUCCACAUGUCUCUUUCCACAGGCAGCCACCAGGCAUGGGGAACAUAUUUACACCUGGAAGCAAUGGCUUGCAUUCAAUUGAGUUAAUAAGAGUUGGGACCCCCGGCUUGCUUCCAUACUGAUUUAGAGGUGGUUGCUUCUGCCCAAGACCCCAUGGCUGGAUGUGUCUAGGGCAAUGAGCUCGCUGGCAUCUGCUGCUGAGAUCCUGCAAAGCAGAGGGUUUACAGGUGGUCUUUGGAUUUAACCAAGAGGAAAAUGGAGUUGUGAUGUGAUGGAUUGAGCUUUGGUCUUGAGAUUCCUUUUGAGGCAAGUUAUUUUACUCUCUCCAUUUCCUCAUCUAUAAAGUGGGUGAAAUGGUAUCUACCUACUAGCGUGAUGAUGAAAAUAAAAU